AUGGUCUACCUACGUAUGCAACCAUACAUAAUGGUUGCUUUUGGUCUCAGACAAGCAAUCAAACUCACCAUAAAGUUUUAUGGACCAUACAGAAUUCUGGAAAGGAUUGGUCAUGUGGCUUAUAAACUCCAAUUGCCACACAAUGUGGGCAUUCACCCUAUUUUCCACGUCAGCCAACUCAAAAGGCACCUGGGCACCCAUGCCAUUGCCACGGCAGAUCUACCACUUGUUGGACCUGAUGACAAAAUCAAAACAGAACCUCUUGCAGUUCUGGAGACACGUUCCCUGUUGCCCAACGGUGUCCUUGUAACUAAGUGGCUAGUUGAAUGGGAGAACCUCAAGCCUGAUGAAGAAACUUGGGAGGAUGCCAACUUCAUGAAGCAAGUUCUUCCUGCAUUUUUUGCAAGCACCAUCAAAAGUCGGUUCCCUAACAAACACACUUGA
Molecule: ribosomal RNA, 444 nt
Filed under: Triticum aestivum (bread wheat)
Lineage: Eukaryota; Viridiplantae; Streptophyta; Magnoliopsida; Poales; Poaceae
Description: partial small subunit ribosomal RNA
Source: RNAcentral